This is a long non-coding RNA of Dreissena polymorpha, 262 nucleotides long. RefSeq lists it as uncharacterized. The record is from RefSeq and is a predicted model, not a curated record. The transcript is spliced from 3 exons. NCBI's taxonomy places the organism in Eukaryota, Metazoa, Mollusca, Bivalvia, Myida, Dreissenidae.
UGUUUAGGUAGCAGUACACGGUAGGAAGCAGAAAUAUGCGAAUUGGCCCCGGUCAAAAAGUGAAAUAUUGGGAAAGGGUUCAUUGUUUUCUGAAUUAAGCGUGGUGGAGAUCAAGAAGGCGUCCGCGGCUCCGAGAGAGUGUGUGUCUACCGUGGUCUGCUACCUUAAGUGGUUCAUUGUUUUCUGAAUUAAGCGUGGUGGAGAUCAAGAAGGCGUCCGCGGCUCCGAGAGAGUGUGUGUCUACCGUGGUCUGCUACCUUAU